This is a long non-coding RNA of Puntigrus tetrazona (Sumatra barb), 688 nucleotides long. RefSeq lists it as uncharacterized. NCBI's taxonomy places the organism in Eukaryota, Metazoa, Chordata, Actinopteri, Cypriniformes, Cyprinidae. The record is from RefSeq and is a predicted model, not a curated record. The transcript has 6 exons.
GUUCUCUUUCGGCCCCACCCACAGUGUGUCGUCACUUCCGCGGAAACCGCUCUUCCGUCUUUCUCGCGCACGUGUAGUCCUCUUUACGACUCGGCUGGCGAAGAUGGCGGACACACAGGUGUUGACCAAGAUGAAGAUGCAGAGGGCCAUCGUCAGAUCAGAUUACAUCUGCAAGUACAACCGCUAUGAGACGAAGACUUGUCUGUCCACCUCUCUCCGUGCUUUAGGCUAUUGCUGGCACUUACAUUGAUAAGAAAUGCCCCUUCACCGGAAACGUGUCCAUCAGAGGCCGUAUUCUGUCUGGUGUGGUGACCAAGAUGAAGAUGCGGAGGACCAUCAUUAGACAGGACUACUUGCAUUACAUCUGCAAGUACAACCGCUAUGAGACAUAAGAACUUGUCUGUCCACCUCUCCCCAUGCUUCAGGUGUGGUGACCAAGAUGAAGAUGCGGAGGACCAUCAUUAGACAGGACUACUUGCAUUACAUCCGCAAGUACAACCGCUAUGAGACAUAAGAACUUGUCAGUCCACCUCUCCCCAUGCUUCAGGAGUGUGACUGUUGUUGGCGUGUCCUGAAGGUCACCAAGGCAGCUGGAGCCAAGCACUUCCAGAAGAUCUAGAUCGGUUUUAACAAUGACACCUGUAUUGUUUGUGGAAAAGAAAAUUAAAGUUUUUUUUUUAAUGUUUCA